GUAUAACGCGAAGGACCUUACCAGGUCUUGACAUCCUUUGACCAUUCUAGAAAUAGAGCUUUCCCUUCGGGGACAAAGUGACAGGUGGUGCAUGGUUGUCGUCAGCUCGUGUCGUGAGAUGUUGGGUUAAGUCCCGCAACGAGCGCAACCCUUAUUACUAGUUGCCAGCAUUUAGUUGGGCACUCUAGUGAGACUGCCGGUGACAAACCGGAGGAAGGUGGGGAYGACGUCAAAUCAUCAUGCCCCUUAUGACCUGGGCUACACACGUGCUACAAUGGAUGGUACAACGAGUUGCGAGACCGCGAGGKUKAGCUAAUCUCUUAAAACCAUUCUCAGUUCGGAUUGUAGGCUGCAACUCGCCUACAUGAAGYCGGAAUCGCUAGUAAUCGCGGAUCAGCAUGCCGCGGUGAAUACGUUCCCGGGUCUUGUACACACCGAG
Molecule: ribosomal RNA, 439 nt
Filed under: uncultured Lactobacillus sp.
Lineage: Bacteria; Bacillati; Bacillota; Bacilli; Lactobacillales; Lactobacillaceae
Description: bacterial SSU rRNA
Rfam family: Bacterial small subunit ribosomal RNA
Source: RNAcentral